This is a long non-coding RNA of Symphalangus syndactylus (siamang), 7510 nucleotides long. RefSeq lists it as uncharacterized. The record is from RefSeq and is a predicted model, not a curated record. NCBI's taxonomy places the organism in Eukaryota, Metazoa, Chordata, Mammalia, Primates, Hylobatidae.
AGGUUAUGUAAGCUGUGGGACCCUCAGAACUGCCUAUCUAUAGGGCAAGCAGUGCCCACUCUGAAGAGCACCCAUAUCAGGGGGCAUCCUAAUGUGGAAGUGACUAGUGAAGCCCAGGGGAGGGACCCACCUUGGCACCAAUGUCGCGGCUCUUGGCUCGAAGCUUGUUGACCUGGGACUCAGCGAUGUCCGCCCGCUCCUCUGCCUCAUCCAGCUCAUGCUGCACCUUGCGGAACUUGGACAGAGCAAGCCAGAGGCCGUCUUAAAGAAUAUCGAAUAACAGGAUACGUUCCCAGAUUUGUGGCUUUGGGCCUCAUUGCGGCUGCGUGUCUCUGCGUCCAGGGAGGUCUGCAGCGAGUCCACCACCCGCUGGUGGUUGCGCUUGGCCUGUUCCAUCUCCUCGUCCUUCUCUGCCAGCUUCCGCUCGAUCUCUGCCUUGAUCUGGUUGAACUCCAGCUGGGCCCGGAGGAUCUUGCCCUCCUCGUGCUCCAGGGAGGCCUGGGAAGGGGUGGGGCGAGGGCGGGCAGACAGGGCACAGGGCAGGGUUGAGAGGGAGGAUGAGAAGAUACAGGGUGUCAGCCAGGACUAUGGCCCAGAGAAGAAGAGCUGAGAAGAGAUGGGGAGGUGGGAUCUGCACCCCAUGCCCACCACGGUGCUAUUGGGGAGAAAGUGCUGGACUCCCUGGGCUUCCUCUGUCAAGAAAAGAGUUUGGACCUCACAAUUGCCAGACUCUCCAGCACUAACACUGCAUAAAUUCCUGACCUGUCUAAAGUAUUAUAGAAAAGGGAGGAAUUUUUAUAACCACAAAUUCAAAAUUUUCUCUUGCUUUCCAGGUCCCUCACCCUUUCCUGAGAAAAGUUAGAAGCCCAGAAAACUCAGGGCUAUUCCCAGGUGCUUAAAAAUGAAGAGUAACAAUAGCUAAUAUAUAUUAAGUGCUUAGAUGUGUUACGUCAUUUAAUCUUUAUAAUAAUCGUGUAAAAUCAUAUGAGGUAUGUACAGUUAAUUCCAUUUUACAGAUGAGAAAACUGAGGCAGAGAUUAAAGAUUUUGCCCAACGCUGCAGUGAAAGUCCUCAAGCUGUGUUCCAACUCAGGCCUGUUUGACUCUGGAACCCACACUCCUACCCACUGUCUAAGUGGUUAUUAUUAUGGCCAGAUUCCAACUUUUAAAACCUGGUGGGAAACCAAACCUUUGGCCUCUAAUCAGACUGACAUUUUCCUUUGUGCAGACCUUGGCUUUAGAGGUAGUCAUGGGUAGUGAAUAGUGGGUAGAUAAUGUUGAACAAAGAAUAUGGAAUGAAAGAUUUUGUCUUGGGGUCAGGGUCACCCCCAAGUGAGGGGGAAGUGGGAGACAGUGGCAGAACAGGGAUGGGGUGCAGGGAGCUCUCGGCCCUCACCUCUGCCUCCUCCAGGGCUGACUGCAGCUCCAGCUUCUCCACCUCCAGCUGUUUGCGGACCUUCUCCAGCUCGUGCACAUUCUUUCCUCCUUCUCCUAGCUGCUCAGUUAGGUCCGAGAUUUCCUCUGGGGACCAGAGGGCCAGAAAGCUCAAAGCCUGUGUUCCCCCUGCCCCUGCAUGGCCCUCCCUCCCACCAAUCAUCUCUGGCCUCUUGGACCCCCAGCACACCCUGAAGGUUCUUGUUCUCCCGCUUGAAGGUCUCUAGGUGCUCCAGGGACUCCUCGUAGGCGUUCUUGAGCUUGAAGAGCUCUGUGCUGAGGGAGCGAGCCUCCUUCUGCGAGGACUCCAGCUCCGACUGCGACUCCUCAUACUUCUGCUUCCACUCGGCCAGGAUCUGCCGGGGGGCAAGGCUCACUCUUCAGCCCCCCAGCCUUAGCUCCCCAGCCCUCCUGCUUCCCAGUGCCCCAGCCCCCAGCCUCAGCCCCAUGUCCAAGAAUCUGUCCCUGGUCCCGAGCCUGGGCUCAGCCCUCCUCCCCCACCUCCAAGGAGGAUGACUCUGGCCUUUCACUGAACCCCUCAUGCCCCCUUGCCCUGCAUGCUGGCUGUGGCCCCCACCCAUGGCCCACCUUGUCGAAGUUCCUCUGCUUCUUGUCCAGGGCUGCAGCAGCAGCAUUGGAGCGCUCUACAUCCACCAUCAAGUCCUCGAUCUCAUUCUGUAGCCGGUGCUUGGUCUUCUCCAGCGAGGAGCACUUGGCAUUAACAGCCUCCACGGCCUCCUCGGCAUCCUGCAGCCGCUGGGCCAGCUUCUUUCUGCCCAGCUUCUGCUUCACCCGCUGCAGGUUGUCGAUCUGCUCGCCCAGCUCGGCCACGCUGUCGGCGUGCUUCUUGCGCAGGGCCGCGGCAGUGGCCUCGUGCUGCAGCGUGGCCUCCUCCAGGUCCCGCCGCAUCUUCUGGAACUCGGCCUCGCGCUUCUUGUUCAUCUCGAUCUGCACGGACGUGGCCCCGCCGGCCUCUUCCAGCCGCUCGCUGAUCUCCUCCAGCUCCCGGGACAGGUCUGAGCGCAGCUUCUCCACCUUAGCCCUGGCGGUGCGCUCGGCCUCCAGCUCCUCCUCCAGCUCCUCGAUGCGCGCCUGGGUCAGACACAAAGGGCUCAGACCCACCGCCUGGACCCCUCCACUGGAAUUCCCCCGGCUCUAAAAGGCUACCAGGAACUUAGGUCCCUCUCAAGCAGUGGUUCUCAACUAGGGGCAAUUUUGUGCCCCAGGGAACGGUUGGCAAUGUCUGAUUGUCAUGUCUUGGUGGGGCUUGCUACUGGCAUCUAGAGGGUAGAGGCCAGGGAUGCUGCUAAACAUCCUAUAAUGCAUAGGCCAUCAAUAGGAAUUUGGUUGAAACUCCCGAGGGCAUCUCAGACCCAGUGUGAACAUCUGCAGCCCCAAAUCCUGAGAACCUGUGUUUGAAGGGGGAUCCUGGGGUCCUGUGAGAUCAAGAAGUUCAGGGUCCCCAGAUUCACUAGGCUCUGUUCCGCUAUCCAUAACACAGGAAAGUGAGUGCUUGUAUUUUACAAAUAUUUGUGACAAUAUACCUCGAAACAAUCAAAUACCUUUGCAAUUCUCCAAGUUAAUCACAAAGUCCAAUCAACCAUAUUCCUUGCUCUCCCAGGCUUGCUGUGUUUAUGCCCAGGGUUGGGUUUCAACAUGAUUUCUCCCUUCCAGGCCAGGAAAGUGCUAGUAGGGUACUCUCCUCUUCACCUCAACUCCUCAUCCUCUUCAAGUGCCCUUACCUCACUUUUCGUGCCUUAGCCUUGGUCUUGACUAAAUUGGGAGAAUAUCCUAUCUACCAUUUUGAUCUGUUGUCUGGCUAGCCAGGAGCAAAACAGGGGUUCAGUGGAAAUCCCUUCACCUCAGAUUAUGGACAGCUUUAAUGGACUGUUCAUGGAUGGGUCCUACGAGCAGCAGAGAGGACCACCGUGCCUCUGCUCCCAGGAUGGAGAAGGUGGGACUUCUGAGCAAGAUCUUGGGGAUGAAGGAGGAGCCAUAGCCUAUUGCCAAGACCUGAUGAGAUUAACAGGACUGUUAUUCUGUGUCCAAGAGGCCAAAGAAGUUGCCCAGACCUAGGGUGGAAGAACCUCAGAUUGGCCCGAUAUUCUAGCUAAAACCCAGAAGGGGCAUCCAAGAAGAUGGGAGGGCAAAUUACUAAUGAAGGCGGGCCAGUCCCUGUGCAGCCCCGGAGGAGUGGAAUUGUGUUCAUACAUUACUUGCAGCCUGGGCUAUGGGCCUCAAGUGCAGAGGGGAGACUACCUCUUUCUACCAGCCACAGUCUGCCCGAAAGUGAGAGGACAAGGUCCUGCCCCAGUAGCCGAGUUCCUGUUGCUCUUGGGGUCACUAUGUCCAGACCUGGCCAUGUAGCUUCUGUAGCUCUAAAAUGGGGAUGGCAGUGGACUUCCAGGGCUCUUCGGACAAACCCGAUACUAAAAGCACAUUAAGGUUUGAGGUUCAUUAAAGCUAAGGGAGACUAUGGCUGUUCACUUAAUCCUGAGCUGCAGAGGAAUGAGAAGGCCAUUGAGAAGACAAAACAAUACCUCCGUAGGCUAGUGGCUGGCUGACUUCUCUAAACUGGGCUAUAUUAAUAUGAUGCUUGUAUAGAAUUUCCUAGUUGACAAAGUGGUUUCAAAUACAUUAUCCCCUCUGGUCCUGUGUGGUAGGUAUUGUCAGUCUCAUUUUACAGGUGAGAAGAGAAUCUGAGGAUCAGGGAGGGUAAGUGACUUGCUCAAGGUUGUUGGAAUUGGCUCUUAUCAUGAGUGCCCUAUGGGGACUCAGCCUGGGUUAGUGGCUGGGGUUAGUACCGGGAAGAAUAUGAACAGAGCAGCUCACAGGAAGGUGCUCCUUGAAGCUUUUUUUUUUUUUUCACUCCGCGUUCAGAGGGCAGAACUACCAGAGGAAGGAUUAGAGGAGAAUAGAGCUCUAUCGUUUGUCUUAGAGUAGAAAGUCCCUGAGGCAGAGCAGAUCUCAGAAGGAGAAGCCCUUUAGUAGGUACGAAUCCCCCUUCUCAAACAGUUUUGCUAACGUAAUGUAUUCUUGCUCUAUGGGGGAAGGCUAGUGUUCCUGAGCGCCUGUAACUCAGGGAUGGUUGGGUCUAUGAGGCUGCCUGGAGUUCCAGAUAUUGUGUAGAACCCUAAGCAGCUACUGCAGCCUCAGUUACCUCAGGGCUAUUGAGCUCCCACUUUCAUUCACUGGGAAAAAAAGUCACCUGGUUUUCCUUCAGUUUCUUCUGUAGCUGAAGGGCCAGUGCCUGCUCAUCCUCAAUCUUAUUGUUCUGCUGAUUAAUGUCAAACUCCUUCCUGCAGGAGAAGGGUGGGGGCGGGGGGGUGACAGGUAGCCUUCCUUCCUCUGGGGCUCAUUCUCUUCUUGGCCUUAGUAUGCCAGAAUCGGCACCUCCCCCUCCCCUCGCCAGCCCAGAGAGUGGAGGAAGAGGGCUGUGAUUGACCUCAUUCCCAGUGUGCCCAAGGCAACUGUGGCCAGUGGAGGCGCAGCACCCUGCACUCUAUCUACCAGGCCAGACACCUCCAUUAGCCCCUCCUGGCCACCACAGUCUCCUACUUCUUAAGCUUUUCUUCCAGCUGCAGUUUAUCAUUUUCCAGGUCCAUGAUGCUCUCCUGGGUCAGCUUCAGGUCGCCCUCCAGUUUCCGCUUUGCUCGCUCCAGGUCCAUGCGCACCUUCUUCUCUUGCUCUAGGGAUCCCUCCAGCUGAUGGAGAGAAGAAAAUAAGCAAAGUGUGGAAAUUUGAAAUCCAUAGUGUAUGCUCUUUUGCCUCCUUCUAAACUUGAAGUCCAGUGGGAUUGGAAGUCAAACCAGUAGAGAAAUCCUGCAAGCACAAAGGAUUCAGAGACCUACUCUAGUGAGGAAUUACAGGGAGCAAAAAAGGUUCAAGGGCCAUAGAAGUUAAUUCUAGGGAUCAGGACUUUCUGGACCAUUGGUGUUGCCUGCAAAAUCUUGCUCUGAGAGCAGGAGCAUGGUUCUUACUACUCACGUCAUCCACCUGCUGCUCCAGCUUGACCUUAGACUUAGACAGGCUGUUAACCUUGUCUUCCUCAACCUGAAGGUCAUCCAGGGCCUGCUGAUGGGCCUCUUGUAGAGCUUUCUUCUCCUUGGUCAGCUUAGCGAUGAUCUCAUCCAGCCCAGCCAUCUCCUCUGUUAGGUUCUUCACCUGCCGACCAAAAACCCAUCCCCUUUAGGGUCAAAGAUCACCAGCCUGGAGACAUCUAUGGGGACCUCCAUGCCAAGGACCAGGGCCACACUCUAGUCUGGGAGUCUUGAGGAGACCUGGGCUGAAGCCAGAGGGAGCUGCCCUCACCUUGUUCUCAGUUGCAUGCUUCUCCUUCUCCACCUUGGCCAGUGUCAGCUCCAGGUCAUCGAUGUCCUUCUUGAGCUCUGAGCACUCGUCUUCCAGCUUGCGCUUCUUGGCAGUGAGCUCCGCGUUCAUCUCCUCCUCGUCCUCCAGCCUCUCAUUCAUCUCCUUUACUUUGGCCUCCAGCUGAAUCUUGUUUUUGAUCAGCUGGUCGCAGCGCUCCUCAGCAUCAUUGAGGUUGUCUUGUUCCUGGGAGAAGAGAACAGGGAGGAAGCUGAUGGUUAAAGAGAGGAGACCUAGGGUCUUAAAAAGAGCUGGCACUCCUAGACUCCCAGCCCCUGGUUGUGAGAUGGGCUAUAAUCUAGGAGAGGGGAGGAGAGGGCUGAAGAGAUAAUCAUGUGGCCUCACCGCCUGCACUUGGAGCUGCAGGUCAUUCUUCUCCUGCAGCAGGGACACCAUCUUCUCCUCCAGCUCCUUGCGGCGAGCCUCAGACUUCUCCAGCGUCUCUUUGAUGCGCCCAAACUCUUCCUUCAUGGUGGCCAUCUCCUUCUCCGUCUCUGCGCUCUUCAGCAGCGGCUUGAUCUUGAAGUAGAGUUUCAUCCAGGGCCAAUUCUUGACCCCCAUGAAGGCACGAAUGUUCCACUGGAUUACCAGCAGGGCAUCCCUGGCAAGGAAACGUGGAGGCAGGGUUGGGCACUAUAAAAGAGAGCUUCCCAAUCAUGGGCCCUACUAAGCAAGUUCGUAGGCAUGUAGACUUUCUUCUUGUGCACACGCACCUCCAACAUCACUACAUUGAGCAUGGAGUUGCUUGAUAAAUAUUUAUUAAUCAAUUUGAUGAAAGGGCAGUUUAUAUCCUCCCAGCUGGGAUAUUAGUUGUAAUGGAAACUACCACUUAUAGAAUGUCUACUCUGUUCAGUUUUUCUAUUCUCAUAAGAACUUCAAAUAUGUUAAAAAUUAUGUAGGGGUUUACAUAUAAGAAUGUCUAUAAUAAGUAUGUAAGUUAUGCAGCAUGAAAGCAAAAUGACUAUCCAUGAACCUACCGCCCAAACAAGAGCCGAAGUGUUACCAGCCAUUGAUCUACCUGUGCGUUCCUUCCUACACCCCUGUUACCCCGCCAGGAGCAGCCACCACUCUGAUUCUUAUUUUUCCUUUCCUUGCUUUUUCAAAAAUUACUUUAACCACAUAUGAAUGUAUCUUAAUUUUAAUUUAAUUUUAUUUAUUUUGAGAUGGAGUUUCACUCUUGUCACCCAGGCUGGAGUGCAAUGGCAUAAUCUCAGCUCACUGCAACCUCCACCACCCAGGUUCAAGAGAUUCUCCUGCCUCAGCUCCUGAGUAGCUGGAAUUACAGGUGCCUGCCACCAUGCCCAGCUAAUUUUUGUAAUUUUAGUAGAGAUGGGGUUUCACCAUGUUGGCCAGGCUGGUCUCCAACUCCUGACCUCAGGUGAUCCAUCUGCCUUAGCCUCCCAAAGUGCUGGGCUUACAGGCAUAAGCCACUGUGCCCAGCCAUAUGUAUGUAUCUUUAAACAAUGAAUGGCUGGUUUUGAUUAUUUAUGAGCUUUAUAAAAAUUACAUCAUACUGUAUGUAUCCUUCCAAGAUUUGCCUUUGUUUACUAACAAUAUGCUUUAAUGUUCAAACAUAUUGUAUCAUGUAGUUGGAGUUCACUUCUUUUCACUGUUUUAUAAUGUUCCACUGAAUGACUGUAAUACUAUUUACCCAUUCCCCUGUGGAUGGAAAUUCAAGUUGUUUUAAGAUCUUUGCUGUUAUGACCAAU